This is a non-coding RNA of Acanthosepion pharaonis, 110 nucleotides long. NCBI's taxonomy places the organism in Eukaryota, Metazoa, Mollusca, Cephalopoda, Sepiida, Sepiidae. The record is from the annotation of a GenBank genome assembly.
UGGCCAUAUCGCCCUGAAACACCGGUUCCUGUACGAUCACCUAAGUUGAGCAAUGUCGAGCCUGGUCAGUACCUAGAUGGGUGAUAGCUUAGGAAUAACAAUUGCUGUAA